CGAUUUGAACAGGUUUGCGCAACAAUUUAUUGAAAAUAGCAACAUGAUCAAGAAUAUUAUCGUACUUGUGUCUUUUAUCGCUGCAGUGCAGUCUGCUUGUGACAAUGCCUG
RNAcentral lists this non-coding RNA (111 nucleotides) under Spumella elongata. Lineage: Eukaryota; Chrysophyceae; Chromulinales; Chromulinaceae. The record is from RNAcentral.